CCUACGGGUGGCAGCAGUGAGGAAUAUUGGUCAAUGGGCGCUAGCCUGAACCAGCCAAGUAGCGUGAAGGAUGACUGCCCUAUGGGUUGUAAACUUCUUUUAUAGGGGAAUAAAGUGCAGUAUGUAUACUGCUUUGCAUGUACCUUAUGAAUAAGGAUCGGCUAACGCCGUGCCAGCAGCCGCGGUAAUACGGAGGAUCCGAGCGUUAUCCGGAUUUCGUGGGUUUAACGGGAGCGUAGGCGGGUUGUUAAGUCAGUUGUGAAAGUUUGCGGCUCAACCGGAAAAUUGCAGUUGAUACUGGCAUCCUUGAGUACAGUAGAGGUAGGCGUCUUUCGUGUUGUAGCGGU
This 347-nucleotide ribosomal RNA is filed under the name uncultured bacterium. Its description in RNAcentral is "partial 16S ribosomal RNA". It matches the Rfam family "Bacterial small subunit ribosomal RNA", at positions 338 to 682 of the family's 1533-position model. The record is from RNAcentral.